This 724-nucleotide ribosomal RNA is filed under the name human gut metagenome. RNAcentral describes it as "bacterial SSU rRNA". It matches the Rfam family "Bacterial small subunit ribosomal RNA", at positions 800 to 1520 of the family's 1533-position model. The record is from RNAcentral.
CCGUAAACGGUGGAUGCUGGAUGUGGGCACUAUUCCACGGUCUCCGUGUCGGAGCCAACGCGUUAAGCAUCCCGCCUGGGGAGUACGGCCGCAAGGCUAAAACUCAAAGAAAUUGACGGGGGCCCGCACAAGCGGCGGAGCAUGCGGAUUAAUUCGAUGCAACGCGAAGAACCUUACCUGGGCUUGACAUGUUCCCGACAGCCGUAGAGAUACGGUCUCCCUUCGGGGCGGGUUCACAGGUGGUGCAUGGUCGUCGUCAGCUCGUGUCGUGAGAUGUUGGGUUAAGUCCCGCAACGAGCGCAACCCUCGCCCUGUGUUGCCAGCACGUCGUGGUGGGAACUCACGGGGGACCGCCGGGGUCAACUCGGAGGAAGGUGGGGAUGACGUCAGAUCAUCAUGCCCCUUACGUCCAGGGCUUCACGCAUGCUACAAUGGCCGGUACAACGGGAUGCGACACCGCGAGGUGGAGCGGAUCCCUUAAAACCGGUCUCAGUUCGGAUUGGAGUCUGCAACCCGACUCCAUGAAGGCGGAGUCGCUAGUAAUCGCGGAUCAGCAACGCCGCGGUGAAUGCGUUCCCGGGCCUUGUACACACCGCCCGUCAAGUCAUGAAAGUGGGUAGCACCCGAAGCCGGUGGCCCAACCUUUUUGGGGGGAGCCGUCUAAGGUGAGACUCGUGAUUGGGACUAAGUCGUAACAAGGUAGCCGUACCGGAAGGUGCGGCUG